RNAcentral lists this ribosomal RNA (254 nucleotides) under uncultured bacterium. RNAcentral's name for it is "partial 16S ribosomal RNA". It matches the Rfam family "Archaeal small subunit ribosomal RNA", at positions 474 to 727 of the family's 1478-position model. The record is from RNAcentral.
CCCCGGCGCCACAAGUGGUUAUCACGAUUAUUGGGCCUAAAGCGUUCGUAGCCGGUUUGGUACAUCUCUUGUGAAAUUGUUCGGCUUAACCGGACAGCGUGCAGGAGACACGGCCAAACUCGAGACCGGGAGGCGUAAGAAGUAUUCCAUGGGGACUGGUAAAAUGGGAUAAUCCAUGGAAGACUACCGAUGGCGAAGGCAUCUUACGAGAACGGAUCUGACGGUGAGGAACGAAAGCCAGGGGAGCGAACCGG